This 760-nucleotide ribosomal RNA is filed under the name uncultured Prevotella sp. RNAcentral's name for it is "bacterial SSU rRNA". It matches the Rfam family "Bacterial small subunit ribosomal RNA", at positions 28 to 776 of the family's 1533-position model. The record is from RNAcentral. Lineage: Bacteria; Pseudomonadati; Bacteroidota; Bacteroidia; Bacteroidales; Prevotellaceae.
GAUGAACGCUGGCUACAGGCUUAACACAUGCAAGUCGAGAGGAAACGACGGGGAAGCUUGCUUCCCCGGGCGUCGACCGGCGCACGGGUGAGUAACGCGUAUCCAACCUGCCUCUGACUGAGGGAUAACCCGUCGAAAGUCGGCCUAAUACCUCAUGGCAUCGUCUGCGGGCAUCCAACGACGAUUAAAGAUUUCAUCGGUCAGGGAUGGGGAUGCGUCUGAUUAGCUUGUUGGCGGGGUAACGGCCCACCAAGGCUACGAUCAGUAGGGGUUCUGAGAGGAAGGUCCCCCACAUUGGAACUGAGACACGGUCCAAACUCCUACGGGAGGCAGCAGUGAGGAAUAUUGGUCAAUGGGCGAGAGCCUGAACCAGCCAAGUAGCGUGCAGGAUGACGGCCCUAUGGGUUGUAAACUGCUUUUAUGCGGGGAUAAAGUGAGGGACGUGUCCUUCAUUGCAGGUACCGCAUGAAUAAGGACCGGCUAAUUCCGUGCCAGCAGCCGCGGUAAUACGGAAGGUCCUGGCGUUAUCCGGAUUUAUUGGGUUUAAAGGGAGCGUAGGCCGUGGAUUAAGCGUGUUGUGAAAUGCAGGUGCUCAACGUCUGCACUGCAGCGCGAACUGGUCCACUUGAGUGUGCGCAACGCAGGCGGAAUUCGUCGUGUAGCGGUGAAAUGCUUAGAUAUGACGAAGAACUCCGAUUGCGAAGGCAGCUUGCGGGAGCACAACUGACGCUGAAGCUCGAAAGUGCGGGUAUCGAACAGG